This is a long non-coding RNA of Caretta caretta (loggerhead turtle), 571 nucleotides long. RefSeq lists it as uncharacterized. Lineage: Eukaryota; Metazoa; Chordata; Testudines; Cheloniidae. The record is from RefSeq and is a predicted model, not a curated record.
CAGGCUCACACAAUGCUUUCAAUCAAAGCCAGGCUGGGAAACCCAACCCCACAGACACCUUCAAUUUCAUGUUUUCUUAGGUUCUUUCAGAGAGAGAGUGAUUGACACACAAGCUGAACCCUAGAAGAGGGAGAAAACAGAACCGUGGUCUUUGACUUCAAUGCAAAAAGAUUAGAAAUAAACUGAAGAUGUCACACUGUUCCAUGCAGCGGAGAGCAAGAAGAGAUCCUCACACCCAUGAUGCAAAUCACUUACAGAUGGAGAAACUGAGGCACAGAGCAGGGAAGUGAUUUGCUCGAGAUCACUCAGAGCUGGGAAUUGGAUGCAGUUCUCCUGAGGCCCAGUCUUGGGCUCUAGCCACUAGACAACUAAUGGACACCAAAAACAUUCUCAGCAAGCUGCCCAGGAUAGGACUCAAACUUGCAGUUCAUGGGACCUGUUUGGAUUCAAGGGCCACAGCAGAUGACUUUGAGAAGCGGAGGAUGGCUGAGUUUGAAGGUGUCCAGUUGAUCUACACGUGGUUAGUAUCCUUCCAGUUCUGGCAUUGAUGAUAUGUUGGAAAAGUGCCAUG